This 838-nucleotide ribosomal RNA is filed under the name Salmonella enterica subsp. enterica serovar Infantis. RNAcentral's name for it is "partial 23S ribosomal RNA". It matches the Rfam family "Bacterial large subunit ribosomal RNA", at positions 711 to 1469 of the family's 2925-position model. Lineage: Bacteria; Pseudomonadati; Pseudomonadota; Gammaproteobacteria; Enterobacterales; Enterobacteriaceae. The record is from RNAcentral.
AGACCCGAAACCCGGUGAUCUAGCCAUGGGCAGGUUGAAGGUUGGGUAACACUAACUGGAGGACCGAACCGACUAAUGUUGAAAAAUUAGCGGAUGACCUGUGGCUGGGGGUGAAAGGCCAAUCAAACCGGGAGAUAGCUGGUUCUCCCCGAAAGCUAUUUAGGUAGCGCCUCGUGAAUUCAUCUCCGGGGGUAGAGCACUGUUUCGGCUAGGGGGCCAUCCCGGCUUACCAACCCGAUGCAAACUGCGAAUACCGGAGAAUGUUAUCACGGGAGACACACGGCGGGUGCUAACGUCCGUCGUGAAGAGGGAAACAACCCAGACCGCCAGCUAAGGUCCCAAAGUCAUGGUUAAGUGGGAAACGAUGUGGGAAGGCCCAGACAGCCAGGAUGUUGGCUUAGAAGCAGCCAUCAUUUAAAGAAAGCGUAAUAGCUCACUGGUCGAGUCGGCCUGCGCGGAAGAUGUAACGGGGCUAAACCAUGCACCGAAGCUGCGGCAGCGAACGUAUCACUUAAAGCGAUUCAGCGGGUUACGAUUGACGGAGCGAAGCGACGUCAAAGCGUAUACAAAGUCGAGUCGGUUUAAGGAUACGUUCGUUGGGUAGGGGAGCGUUCUGUAAGCCUGUGAAGGUGUGUCGUGAGGCAUGCUGGAGGUAUCAGAAGUGCGAAUGCUGACAUAAGUAACGAUAAAGCGGGUGAAAAGCCCGCUCGCCGGAAGACCAAGGGUUCCUGUCCAACGUUAAUCGGGGCAGGGUGAGUCGACCCCUAAGGCGAGGCCGAAAGGCGUAGUCGAUGGGAAACGGGUUAAUAUUCCCGUACUUGGUGUUACUGCGAAGGGG